AGAACGAACGCUGGCGGCACGCCUAACACAUGCAAGUCGAGCGCCCAGCAAUGGGAGCGGCGGACGGGUGAGUAACACGUGGGAAUAUGCCUUUCGGUACGGAACAACUCAGGGAAACUUGAGCUAAUGCCGUAUACGCCCUUACGGGGAAAGAUUUAUCGCCGAAAGAUUAGCCCGCGUCUGAUUAGCUAGUUGGUGAGGUAAUGGCUCACCAAGGCUUCGAUCAGUAGCUGGUUUGAGAGAACGACCAGCCACACUGGGACUGAGACACGGCCCAGACUCCUACGGGAGGCAGCAGUGGGGAAUCUGGACAUGGGGAAACCCUGAUCCAGCGAUGCCGCGUGAGUGAUGAAGGCCUUCGGGUUGUAAAACUCUUUCGACGGGACGAUAAUGACGGUACCCGUAGAAGAAGCUCCGGCUAACUUCGUGCCAGCAGCCGC
RNAcentral lists this ribosomal RNA (440 nucleotides) under uncultured bacterium. RNAcentral describes it as "SSU rRNA". It matches the Rfam family "Bacterial small subunit ribosomal RNA", at positions 26 to 518 of the family's 1533-position model. The record is from RNAcentral.